GGGCCGCGCCGUCUCUGCGCCGGGAGCUGACCUCCGGCAACGCUGAGAUCGGGGGGGAGCCGCUCCGAGCUGUUCAGGAGUUUUAAACGCGCUUCUGCGGGGUGUGAGCGAGGAGCGUUGGGGUUAAUCAUUCUCCCUUAAAAAAUGAAAUAAAAUAAUAAAAAUUAGCCACAAGCGGUGCGUUUGGUAAUUAAAGCGAUUCGUGUGAAAGAAUAACGGUUGUUAAGCGAGGUGGUCGGCGUGGCUCCGCGUGUGUGCGAUGUGCGGGCACUUCGCUCGUUGGGCUUUUCGGAAAGGCGGCCGUACGUACGCGCUGCCCGCGGAGCGUCGGUGCCCCGCCGGUCCCCCGCCUCGGCCGCGCUCCCAGCCGUGUUCCGGGUGUCGGCGAGGGGAGAGGUGGCGGGAGGGGGGGCAGCCUGCGCAGAGCCCGACUUACUGCUUCACAUCGGCUGCACUACGUCCAGAAAACUACAUUUAAAAAAACAAGAAAGGGACAUUUCUCCGUUUUUCUUCCUAAAAUAAUUCCUUAUAUGCAGACACAGAGCUUUCGCUCACGAAUAUAUUGUUCGGCUACGAGAUGUAUUUUUGCAGUGAUAUAUAUUUUGCGACGCUACCUAUUUUUGCUGCGAUAUCUGUAUUAUUAUAGCAUUGCAAUCGGAGCUCUCCCCUUGCCGUUCAGGAGCUCCCCGUGGGGCGGUGCAUCCCGCCCCGAGCCGGGGCUGUGCUGUGCCGCUUUGCCGCACUUCCGUCCCCCCGCGUUAUUUGUCGGUGGCACUUUUAGGAACACCGCUUCUCGGCGCUCCCUUCCCCGCCGCCGCCGCUCUCUCGGCCGCUCGGAGCCGUACGGGAACCGCUCCCGGAGAGCGGAGGGGAGCGCCGUGAUUCAUGAGCCGGGGGUGGAACGGGAACGGCGGAAUGCAAUGAACGGGCGUUACUGCCGGCUCCGGCCAUUGUUACGGGAAAAGCUGCGAUAAAACUCCAGCGGGGGCUUUUCUCGAUGUGGUCCCGUUCAACUUUUCACGAGAGGUCAAUGCCGUUUAAAAGCAAUGCUGAAGGUCCGAGGCAGCGAUGUGACCGCGGCGUUCCCUCUCGGAGCGGAGCGGUGCGGGGACGCUCGGUGGGACCCCCCGGGCGGGGCGGGGGACAGGAGGGACCUCGGGCUCCGCUCCUCGCAGCCCCCCCACCUCCAUUCCGCCUCGGGGUGAGACUCCCGCACGGUCACAGGGAGGAAAAAACCAUUCGGUGGUGGAAGAAAAGGCGAUUAAAUUAAAUUACUUUGGGGAUUACGGGCCACAUGCGGUGUAUUAAAGUGCUUUAAGCUACUUUGUAGCUUCUUUGGCAUUAGGGCGUUUAAUACGGGCUCGGUCGGUCUGCACGAGUGCUUUGCUGGGUGAGAAAGAGCGGGGUGGGAGAGAGAUGGGAUGCAGAGGAAAAGCAGACGGGAGAGGCACAGAGAUCUCGGGCUCUGAGAGCUUUGCUUUGCUCCAUGUAAACAAAAUCCGGCUUUAAUUUGCCGUGCUAUAAACAAUAAUUUUCCAAUCGGGGUCACUGAUACGAAAGGAAAAUGACCAUCUGUAGGCAGGGAUCUGAAAUGGGUAAUGCCGCCCGGGCAGCGUGCUUUAUAUAUUGCCGAUGGGGCUCGGGGACAGCCGCUGCCAGCCCCCGGCGUGCAGUGCCCGGCAGGGACGAGGGCACAAACGUCGGAGAUUUGAGGCUGAGGAAGGAGAAAGUCGAUUCCUUUCCCAGAUCCUUUCCCCCGCACACGAGCAGUUCAGUCGGGCAGUGCGUCGGCCGUCGGCAGAUGUGUCAGAUUCGGAGGUUCGGAUCCGCAGCAGCGUGGGGAGCUCCUGGAAUCACGGAGCAUGUGUCACAUUUCUCACUUGGUUCUGGAUGUACCGAGAGAGAAAGGUGGGGGGUGUGGGGGGUGACGGGACAAGGAGGUUCCCUGCUUGUUUUUCCCUAAGGCAAAUAUCUCUUCCAUGAUCGAGAGAAGAGGCGGCAGUGUUUUUGCAGUGGUGCGAAGUGUGGCUGUUGCUAGAAAUGCUUCUCACUUUAUUCCUGAAAAGUGUGCCAGAUGCACAGGAGAGCUCGCACUGCUUUAUUUAUGUAAUGCGAUGUGAGGGGGAACGGGGGGAGUUCUCUGUCCCUGGUGCAGCCGAUUUGGCUAAAUUUGCCGUGCUGCAAAAGCUACGUGCUCAUUUAUCCCACUGGCAGAACAGAGGGGCCUCUCCUUGUUGCUGCAUCCCUGCUCCCUGAGGAUGCUGCUCAGAAAGCCCACUGCCCUCAGCGUGCCCUGUGCUCAGCUCAACCUGCGUCAGCCAAAGGGCUGGGGGCAUCGUGUCCCACGCUGAGGGAUCAACCAUGCACUGCUGGGCUCAUACAGAUUGCGGCACGAGCUCCCUGCUCUGCCACAUCCCGGCCCCAGGCACAGAGAUGGGAGCAUGGAGCCCUCACCGUGAGCAGAUGAGGGUGAGUUAAGAGGGUACACCCCAAUGCAGGGGCUGGGGAACUUCUCGCCCUGCAGUCAGGUUUUUGCUUCUGUUACAAAGAGCUCUUAAAACAUAAUAAAUAGAGCAGAGAGAAAACAAGCGUUUCCCUAAGUGGGACCACGUUGCUCUUCCCAGCUGCCUGAGGAACAGAAUGUUUUGAUGAAAUCAAUGAUGAUGUAUACGAAACAAUUUUACUCUUAACCAACUGCCACCUUACUUCCUGCCAUGCUGAUCUAUUCAGACACAAACACUUUCUCUUCCUUAAGAAUAUAUAUUUGCUCGAGGAGAGUCAUCAAAAACUGGGUGGAUAAUUCCUAUGAAUCAGCGCUGUCCUAAGAGAAAGCAGCACUCAGAAUCGGAAAGCAAACAGUCCGGAGACAGCGCUGGGAGGGCUGCAAUGCUGUCCUGCUGGUUUCCCCUCGAAGGGCCAGUGGGUUCCCCUGCCCUCACCAUGCACACAGCACAUGGCAGGCACAGAUCUCAGCCCCUGGGAAGGGGCAUCGGGACUCUUUGCCCUCUCCCCGUGUGCCCUCUCCUCUGUAGAAACUGCUGGUGGCACACAGAGGCCUCUGCUGCACCGAGCGAGAUUCACACACUCGGGAGCUUUAAUUAGAACCAUGCUGCAAGCAGUGCUUUCAUAGCUUCUCCAAUUUAUUAUUUAUGAUAUAAAGCAAUGACAAAGCAACAUGAAAAUAUCUGCUUGUUAAGGCAAAAUGACAUGUGAUGGCACAGGGCAAUAAACAUAAAAAAAAAAGAAGAGAAUUUCCAUGGCAGUGCCCACCUGGUGCAGUACCUGGCAGUGCCUACCUGGUGUAUAGGGUCGCACUGUGCUCAGAGCCCCAUCUGCUGGGUCACUGCCAUCGCAUGGAGGUGCCGCGUCCCUGGAUGAGAUGGGGAAAACACCGCACAGAGGUACGGGAGGUUUCACGGGCAGAUACUGGUGCUCUGACAGCGUUUUCUUCCCCGUUAGUCCUCCCUUUCAUCAGCGCGGCAGAAAAAGAGACUGCUGCAAGCCGCACAUUGACAGCGGUCAUUUAAACUGCUGCUGAGAGAGUGUGACGGGCUGUAGCGUUCAGGCUACGGUGCCGUGGCCGUGCUGUUUGUUCAGCUCGUUUCCCGGCUGAGAGACGCGCACCCAGCUGCACACCGACGGCUCCUCUGGUCACACUUGCACUCUUUGAAGUGCGGGUGUUUGUCGGCACUCGCACCCCCGGCUUUGCUUCCUAAAGCCCACCGAGAUAGCGGCUGGCAGUGCUGUGCAGUGCUGCCUUCUCCUCCCGGCCGCUGCCAGAAACAACACGGCCGCUCUGAGCGAGGACGGGAUGGUGCCUGCACUGUGAGGGGCGGCCCGUGCUUUGCGGCUGCCUUCCCCCAGCGGGCAGGAGGCUCUCCGGGGUGCUGUGUGUGUUAGUACAGAGCCUUGGUUGGUAGGGGCAGCUCUGAAACUGAGAGGGAAAAUUAAAAUAGGUGCAGCUGUGGCUGGCUCUUGACGGAGAGGGUUCGGAGCGCAAAGUGAAACGGGGAUGCAGCAGAAACUGGGUUACGUGGCUCUGAGUAAAUGCUCUCCCGUCAGAGCAGGAUUUAUUUUACAUCACUGCUCUAGUUCUUGUCCUGAGGAUGUUUAACUCACCCGGAGCUGUUUGGUCUCCAGGAUGGAUUCCUACAAUUACGUGUUUAUGAUUGCGAGCGCUGCCACGGGAAGCAGCAGGAGGAUAUCAUUUUGGGAGUGCUGGGAGGCACAGAGGGAGCUGGGAGAGCCUUCUCCUGGGCUUCAGCCACUGCUACACUUCGGAGGGAGGCUGCAGCGCACUUCAGGCCUGACGUGCUGCUGCACUUAGCAGCUUGAAUAACAGGGCAUCAGAUGGGUAUUACUGCAUCGCUGUAACUUUAAACUUCUUCCACAUAGUGACAACGUGCAGCUUGGAGCUGUGCGCGGUGCUCACCUCAGAUGUGUUUUCAGAGUGCUCGCAGCAGGCAACGAACACGGCCUGCCCAAGGCCCCGUGGCUGCAGGCCUGCAGGGCUGGGCACGGCCUCCCACAGCCCCACGCACUGCACAAUCUCAGUGACCUGCCCAGCGCCCGCCUGCUGCCCAAGGAUGCUUGGAGCUUCUCGGUCACACGCCGCGGUGCAGAGCUUGGGGACGCCCGGCUGUGGGAGCCCUGGCUGGGAUAAGCCAUGUCCAAGGCCGGAUCGUGGGCAUCUAUCUCAGCCAUCUGCCUGCAGCCCCGCACCAGAUGUGGCUCGAAAUCCUCAGAUGCCCUCUGCUGCCAUGGACCAGAAUUAACAGAUGGCUCUGUAUAACUGGGUUUAGAUUUGCUGAAGUUUGCUAUUAUCUCUGUUUUUGUAAAUGGAUGGGGGAGGGGAAAUAAUAUCUGGGAUUAUUACAAAACAGGCAGAGCUUUUUAAAAAGUGUUAAGUCUGGGGCUGGGUCCCUUCUAACUGUGAAUGCCAUUGUCCCAUAUUUCAAAAUGUUAACACUAUUUUUAGCUUUCUCUUCAGAGCUCCCUCCCCUGAUAGCUUAUCCCUCUGGGUAUGAGUUUGGCUCAGCGAGCCGCCUAGGGCACGGCACACUUUACCCCAGCAUUUUGGGCCCCAUUGUGUCUGAUGGAACCAGCUCUGCUAUUGUGGCUGGGCUCUGCUCAGGGCAGGCACUGAGAGACACUUUCAGCUGCCCGAUGUCCCUCUGUAUCACACAGGCUGGCUUGUGGGGGUCUGUAUCUGAAGUGGGACGGGUGGCACCUAUUUCCCACAUACAUGCCUGCAUCAGGGCAGGUCUGUGUGCAGUGAUACGCACAGCAGCUCUGGAACACAACAGAUCCUGGAGGGGAUCCCAUGGCAAGCUCCAAGAAUUGAGCGGCUUUGCCGAGCCUGAGCUUUCGCUCUGCCUGAGCUUCUGCUGUUUCUCACAGCAGCUCCUGUGAGGAAAAGCCAACCAAACCUCCCUACCUAAGUUCCCAGCCUGGUUCCCAGUGGAGAGUACCAAGGUGCGCUGUGUGCCCUCUCUGUACAUCUCCAUAGCCACCUCAUGUCCUGGGGCCAGCUGUUCACUGGCAUGGGAUGGGAUAGGAUGGGAUGGGAUGGGAUGGGAUGGGAUGGGAUGGGAUGGGCAUUCCCAGCCAUCCUCCACUUUUAGCCACACAGUUCUAUGCUGCUUGCAUUGUUCUAAAGUUUGCUUUGUUUUCUUUCUUUUUUUUUUAAUUUCUCUUCUAGAACAUAAUCUUGAAUUUACAGAAGUCCAUGGCAAAAUCUGGUUGUGAAGGGGGCUUUGUUCUGCGAGACUAUUUCUGAAGACUCCUGGCUCUCUGUCUGCCUUUGUGUACAAGGCUGACACACGGGCCCAUCCACCCGCACUGUGCCCAGCAGCACGCCCGCUCCUUCCAGCUGCUCUAUUGCAGGGAUGCACGUAACCCUCCAGUGGAUGGGCUGUAUCCCAUCACUGUGGCAAACUUGUGGAGCUGUGAUUGCUUAUAAAAUCUGACAGCAUGGUCCACUGCAUGUAUUUUUUCUAAAUCCAUAUUUUUCCAAUUUUUUUUUUCCUGUAGUGGCAAGUUUUUUUCUAUCCAUCUGGGAGCAGAAUCCUGUGCUCAGCGUAUGUAAAUAACAGCUGUUUCCACUCAAUUGCAUUUAUGUACUUAACACUUCAAAAUAGAUUUUUUUCUAGAAGUUUCACAAUCUAGUCACCAUCCAUGCUUAGACAGAGGUACUGGGGAGAGGUUAAUGAAACCCCUCUGGACUGGCUGACAAAAGUAUACAGCUGCAGCUCUGGAAUCCCCGCACAGGAUGGAUUGCUGAUGCUGACGGCCGUGCUCCAAUGCAUUCUGGAGGCAACUUCAUUCCUGAAGCAGCCUCGUCUCUGGCUUCUGGGGCUACUGGGGAGAUAGCAGGGUGCCACGUGAAGAGAGGAGCUGUGCUGGUAGUGCCUUCCAGGCAAAGUUAAUUUGUCAUGUAGAGCAGCUGAACAGGGGAAAAAAUGGCAAGUAAUUUAGAGGGAAAAGCUUAUCUGCCAGUGUUGCAGAUUUUUAAAUGCAUUAACCUGUGCAUCCUGAGAAGAAAGGGAGCUCUUUAAUGCUCUGAUAUGUCUUUUGUUGUAAUGUCACUAGCUCUGAAAUGAAAAUACAGCCUUUUUAUUUUAAAAUGCCUCAGUGAAGAUUUCAAGAAAUUAGUGCUCAAUUAUUAUUUUUGUCCAGAAGCCUCAUUAUUUUCCCAAGUGCCUCAACCUGAGCUAUUUCAUUAGACUUUUGGAUCCUCUGAAGGCUGAGGAUUACAGAACAUUGAUAUUUAGUUACCCUUCAUUCACUCCAUUUACUCUGAUGCAGACCACUGAAAGAGUUGUGUGUUCCUAAAUCCAGGCUGAUUUUAUGUUACUGUAUUUUUUAUUUUGCUUAUCCAGAAGAAAAAUACUUUGAUGUUUACUGCUGUUUCAACUUGAACACCUGUGAACUGGGCAAGACCGUGCUGAGGACUCAAGCUGUGCAGAGAGAGCAAUAACUGCGUGCGAGCUGUUGCUCUCACACAUCCCAACAUGCCUGUGCCAGAGUGUUUACAGGAGGAGCAAAGAGGGCCUGAGCUUGGGUUGUCUGAGAGAACAGCUACCUGCUCCCACAGGGCAUGUCUUUAUUUCUGGAUAAGAACAUUCCUGAUGCCAGGAGGAUUGGCUUACAGCCGUGCCAACGUGGCUCCUCCUGGGCUCUUCCUGCUUCCCCACUCCGCAGCACUGCCUGCACUCUGGUGCUCUGUGGGUCCAAUGUGGAAUGAUGCUUUUUUGUGUUUCUUUCAGUACAGAGUGCCUGAAAUAAGGUGAAACAGCUCUGCAGCCUCUGAGAAUGGUGCUUCCCUACUGUGAAUGUGAGCUACCUGGAGGUAACAGAGAGACCCAUGGGCUCAUCAGAAGAGGGACUACAGAGAUGCAUGAAAUAAGCAACUCUUGUUUAUUCGGAAUAAUUAGAAUGAAAGAAAAAAAAAUUAACAGCUUCACUACUAACUUUUAAUAUUGGAGAGCUGAUGAAACAAAAGGAGGACUUCUGUAUAUGGACUACAUGCUACUAAAGGUUAGCAGAAACAGCAAAAAAGAAGUCUUCACCUUUAAGCAGAGUACUUCUAUAUUUCUGUCUCUGCUCUCAAACUGUUGCCCUACCCUUCAAACUCAACCAACCAAAAACUAAUUCCCAAACACAAUAAAACUACCUUUAUUUGCCUAGAUGAAGUAGGCAUCUAAAUCUCUACUAAGCUCCUCCUCUCUUCACAGAAGAGAGAAAAGCACCUCCAGAAAACAAUGUGCGGCUUAUUCCAAGCAUUUUUUUUUUUAAUGGGAUUUACUGCCUCGUUGAGGUACUUUGUAUGCGUACCUAUUGACUAUAAGGUGAAUCUAUGACAGUUUACUCAGAUUUACAUGUCUAAUUGGUAGUUGACUCAGUGUUAAGAAACAAGUCUAGCUCUUACAUAUUGUAGGUAUACAAUUAGUCUGAACUUUAUUCUUGUGAAAACUGGGCUCUAAGUCAAUUUAUUCUACAGUAGUAUUAAAGUGAGACUCACAUCCUCCAUUACAGAAGAGGAACGCAGCCUGCACAGCCUAUGUCUGCCUGUUCAUAUAAACCUUGUACUGUUUUUCAGGAUGGAAUGAGCAUGUGGGAAACUGUAACAAUGCACCAUGAAAACUGGAAUAACCGAGAAAAGUGCUGACAUCAAACAUAAAUUCCUAUUGUGAUACAUGAUAGAGCUGCAGCAGAGAUGUAGUGGUGGCACAGUAGAAUUUGGAGAUGUCAGGUGAAAUCCAGGCCCUCCCAACAGCCAGCUUUUCCAUGGGGCUGAAUAGCUGCAGAGGGGAGGGUGGCUAACCACUCCCUCCAUUCUUGUCUCGAGGAACUUAAGCAUGCAGACAUGAAACUCGUCAAAUGGGCACAUUUGGCAGUGCUGUACUUUUGACUCAAUUUUUCAAAACCACAAGGGUUGGGUGGCUUUUUUUGUUGUUGUUUAAUAAGUAUGAAGAAAGAUACAACUCUGAUACAUUAGAAAAGUCAAACAGUUCAAAGCAAACAAGAAAGUGCUAGAAAAGAACCUUUGACCCUUUGAAUCCAAGCACUUUCAGACCUCCCAGGAAAUAUCUUAUUCUUCAGUACUUGCAAAUUUAAUUAAGUAGCAGCUGGUGCAUGCCUCUCAUAGUGUUAAGUCCCACGAUCUAUGGCUUCGAACAAAUCCAGGAGAGCCACUGUGCAAGAUUGCCUCCCGGUGGUGGUACCACGAACCUGCAGAACGACAAUUUGCACGCAGAAAAGGCAAAAAAACCCGUUUGAAAAGAAGGCUUCCUUUUUGAAUUCAGGUCUACGUAGAGUAAGUGAAAAAUUUCAGUGUGAUUUUAACGGCCUGAAUUGAGGAUAAACCUUCUGAUAUGUGACUGAAGCAGAGCUUUCUAGUGGAAUAGCAUACUAACAAGGAAAGCUCAAAGAGACUUUCAGUACAACGUGAAAAAAAAGCUAAAAAUCAGUAAGAUGUACCCAAUUGCACACUAUCCACGGCAAUGAGCCUCCUGAAGUCUGAAACAAUAGCUAUUAAGCACAAGGCAAAUGGCUGAGUGCCUUAAGUUGGAUACAAAAGCACUACAGCAGAUUUCCCAUUCUACCAAUUCUGUGUAACUCAAAUUUUCAAUUACGAAGUUAGCACAAGAGGAGAAAAGACAACAGAAAGUCCCAAACUACCUUUCAAAUUGAUUGUUCUUUUAGGAAAAAGCAGGAAAAGGCUCCAGCAGAUGGAUUUCCAACUCCAAGUCUUCGAGUAAAGAGAAACACACAGUUAAAGACAGCUUUAUGUAGCUGUUCAAGACGAUGAAAGCCAGGAGGACAACUUGAAAUUACUGUGGGAAUAGGAGUUUAGUUGGGUCACGCUUCAGAUGACCCAGACGAAAGAUUUAGUAUAAGAAAACAGAAAUAUUGGCAGCGUAGUGCAAGGAAAGAUUUUAAAACACCCAUUUUAUGGAUUAACGUAACAACAAAUUGGCAGAGGGUACAUGCAGUGAGUGCGUUUCAGACUCGCUCAGUUCCCAGUAACUGCUCAGAAGAGGAAGUACUUUAAAUCAGAUAGCAGUCCCACACAUAACAGAUUUUUAGUGCUCCAAAUACCUCAGGAGUGUUCAGAAACAUUUGGGAAAAAGUGAGAUAUGUAACAACAUUUCUGCAGUGACUGUAGAUGAUUAAUCACCAAGUUUGACAGGCAAGAACAGACAAAUGUAGUAGUACUGUGAUAACAAAAGGCAUCUGCAAGGGAAAACGUCCUAACAGCAUUAUGCAGGCAUAAGCAAGAAUUUGUUUGUGGGGGGGAUAAAUAUUUGAAAGCUGAACCCAAGAAAGAACAUCUUUUUUUAAAUUGGAAUGAAACCAAGCAGAGACUAUUUAGGUCUCAGCUUUCCAAAAAUAAUGGUGGUUCAGUUUUACACGGUGGAUUGUAACAAAACAGUGAGCGUGAGAUGUAAACUUCUCACCUAUGGACCUGUGUCAGUAACAGUCACCAUAAACUGAUGCAAAUAAUAAAAUGUGCUACGCCACCAAUUACUAAAAACCCUUCAAAAAAGUGAUACUAUAGGCAGAAGAAGUACUUUUGUUCAACUGAAUUUGCAGAGUAAGCAGACAUCCUUUCCAAAAACACAGUAAACAUUCCUUCAUGACAGUAUGCUUGAUGACAUGUGAGCAACACACUGGAUCACACACCCAGAAUCACUGUGCUGAUGUAGGAUUACACAUGGCAUCAGAUUAACACAGAAGCGUAGCAGAGCUGUUUCGUGCUAUUCCAGGAGAAAUCAUUACGGGCUACUGGCCUUACAUGUUAAAAAUAACACCCAUCAAAUACGUAGACUAGCUUGGUGCAUCUGCCAUUAACUUCACACAAUCAAAGCAUUUAAGAAAAACAAACUGUUUAAUAACUCUAGAAAAAAGCAGAUGUACUUCAUGCUAAAAUGACCAGAAUUAGAGACUUUAUACGGUACUCAUCUUCUAGCAAAACAUAUGGAUAACACAAACUGGCAAAAUGACACUAGAUGAAUGCAAGAAACAAGAACCUUCCUGUCUUAUCCAAGUUGCCUUGGAAAGGAAGUACGAUCAAAAUGUAUGACAUUUGGGAUUUUUUCUCCAUCAUUAUUUAUUUAGAUGUGCAAAGAUAACAGUAAUGUUACUGGAUCUCUGUGGAGGCACAACGUCCCAAGACGGCACUUUCUGUCAGAAGGCCGAUGCCUAAAACUGGAGGCUGGAGAACAGAAUUUCAUAUUUCUGAGAAAAACGAGAAGAAAGGGAUAAAAUGGAGCUCUACAGACAGCUGGAAAUAUGGCUCGGAAAAGUCUUUAGGACACUGAAGAAUCACACUAAAACUAACAGCAGGUAAUGAAUGUCAGCGAUAUCUACAACGUGCCUUUAUAAGAAGUGUGGUACCAGUAAGAGAAAGAAUAGGAAAUAAAGCUCCAGGUUCCAUCAUUUGACAAAUGAUGGUAAGCAUGAUAAAGAAGAAAUUCUAUUGACAAGUUCCUUGAGGGAGUACGGCUUUUCUCACCUUAUUUCCCUGUUAACUUCUGUAACGUUAGCUUCCAAAAAACUUCUGCAGUGCAGAUGUUGCAAUUCUCAUUAUGUUUUUAUCAUCUUUUCCAUUUCCUACUGAAGUUUCCCAUGCAGCAGCACAAAAUUACCUGGGCUGUGUCUUAACAAUAAGCAUCUGUGAAAACGACUGCUCUUUCUUUAGCUCUUCCACAAUUAAAAAUGUAGUGGUACGGGGCUCAUCAUCGUAUUUGGAAUGAGUCAUGCAUGAUUCUCCAUUCUGCUCAUUUUUGAAACAGUAGCUUCACAAUCAUUAUGACUGAAAACAGUACUUCACUUCAAGUUAUUAUGCAUCUAUAUCCAAAAGCGGCCAAAAGUGUGUUUGAUACCAUCAGAUGACAACUUGAUGGCAGAGCCAGUAACGUGCAAUACACAUCACAUGAGAAGGCCACACAGAGCACGUUGACUUACCAGUUGUAGUCUUCAGGGAGCACUGAGUACGUCGAUUUAUGACAAGCAUGACAUACAGCUCCAACUGCAAGGAAAAAAAGACAAACAAGUUAUAAAACGUUGUCUAAAUAGAAGCUCACUUUAGCAUGAAGAUUUCUAGUGUUACCAAAAACGCAGUAUUUACGUAGCUGUCCUACUUUUGUAUUUCUAUUGUACUGUAUUCCUAAGAAAAAAAACACAGCUUGAACAAAACACAAACGUCACUGUUAUAUCUUUAUAAAUGCUUUAACAAAAUAGAUGCAUUUUGAGGUCAUAUAGUAUUGAAAGGGCAAAGAACAUUAUAGUAUGAUUUACAGGGAAGAUUAUCUGAUUUUUUCUUUAAUUCACAGUAACAGUCACUGUUAAAAUGAGUUUGUACUUUGCUGAAGAGUGGUAUAUAUGCUAUGCAAAACUACAAUCCCUUGGCUGCUCUAACACUAGGGAACUCAAUUCCUUCCACAAGUUCCUGUUACUCCAAGGAA
This is a non-coding RNA of Meleagris gallopavo (turkey), 11972 nucleotides long. The record is from RefSeq and is a predicted model, not a curated record. Lineage: Eukaryota; Metazoa; Chordata; Aves; Galliformes; Phasianidae.